UACGUAGGGUGCGAGCGUUGUCCGGAAUUAUUGGGCGUAAAGAGCUCGUAGGCGGUCUGUCGCGUCGGUCGUGAAAACUUGGGGCUUAACCCUGAGCUUGCGGUCGAUACGGGCAUGACUGGAGUUCGGCAGGGGAGACUGGAAUUCCUGGUGUAGCGGUGAAAUGCGCAGAUAUCAGGAGGAACACCAGUGGCGAAGGCGACUCUUUGGCCUGUAACUGACACUGAGGCGCGAAAGCGUGGGGAGCAAACAGG
Molecule: ribosomal RNA, 254 nt
Filed under: uncultured bacterium
Lineage: Bacteria
Description: partial 16S ribosomal RNA
Rfam family: Bacterial small subunit ribosomal RNA
Source: RNAcentral